RNAcentral lists this ribosomal RNA (279 nucleotides) under uncultured archaeon. RNAcentral describes it as "partial 16S rRNA". It matches the Rfam family "Archaeal small subunit ribosomal RNA", at positions 1047 to 1325 of the family's 1478-position model. The record is from RNAcentral.
GAGACCCACGCCAACAGUUGCCAGCUCGUCCUCCGGGAUGGUGGGGACACUGUUGGGACCGCCUCUGCUAAAGAGGAGGAAGGAAUGGGCAACGGUAGGUCAGCAUGCCCCGAAUUAUCCGGGCUACACGCGGGCUACAAUGGGUGGGACAAUGGGUAUCGACACCGAGAGGUGAAGGCAAUCUCCUAAACCCAUCCUUAGUUCGGAUUGUGGGCUGCAACUCGCCCACAUGAAGCUGGAAUCCGUAGUAAUCGUGUUUCAAAAUAGCACGGUGAAUAU